This 270-nucleotide ribosomal RNA is filed under the name Triticum aestivum (bread wheat). Its description in RNAcentral is "partial small subunit ribosomal RNA". Lineage: Eukaryota; Viridiplantae; Streptophyta; Magnoliopsida; Poales; Poaceae. The record is from RNAcentral.
CGUAAAGCCCCGACCAUGAUUUUCAAGCUCGAUUUCAGGAAAGCCUUUGACUCCAUAUGCUGGUCCUCCCUCAUACUAAUCUUACAAGCCUGCGGUUUUCCCUCUGACUUCUGUUCUUGGGUACAAAAUAUCCUUCUCACUGGGAAAACAACUAUCCUUUUAAAUGGCGUUCCAGGAUCCUGGAUUCAAUGUAGAUGUGGCCUCCGCCAAGGUGAUCCCUUCUCGCCGUACUUAUUCAUCAUCGUUGCCGACGUCCUUCAACGUCUAAUC